GCCAGGCGUGGAGGCACUUGCCUGUAAUCCCAGCUGCUUGGGAGGCUGAGGCAGGAGGAUCGCUUGAACCCAGGAGACGGAGGCUGCAGUGAGCCAAGAUCGUGCCACUGCGCUUCAGCCUGGGUGACAGAGCGAGACUCUGUCUCAA
Molecule: non-coding RNA, 148 nt
Filed under: Pan troglodytes (chimpanzee)
Lineage: Eukaryota; Metazoa; Chordata; Mammalia; Primates; Hominidae
Source: Rfam by way of RNAcentral